CCUACGGGUGGCAGCAGUGAGGAAUAUUGGUCAAUGGCCGGAAGGCUGAACCAGCCAUGCCGCGUGAAGGUCAGUGCCCUAUGGGCGUUAAACUUCUUUUGUGCGGGAGCAAUAAUGGUCACGUGUGGCCAGACGAGAGUACCGUACGAAUAAGCAUCGGCUAACUCCGUGCCAGCAGCCGCGGUAAUACGGGGGAUGCAAGCGUUAUCCGGGUUUAUUGGGUUUAAAGGGUGCGUAGGCUGUGAGGUAAGUCAGCGGUGAAAUGCCCCCGCGCAACGGGGUGAAGUGCCAUUGAUACUGCCUGGCUGGAAUGCGGAUGCCGUGGGAGGAAUGUGUGGUGUAGCGGUGAAAUGCAUAGAUAUCACACAGAACACCGAUUGCGAAGGCAGCUUACGAGUCCGCGAUUGACGCUGAGGCACGAAAGCGUGGGUAUCAAACAGGAUUAGAUACCCUAGUAGUC
This 460-nucleotide ribosomal RNA is filed under the name uncultured bacterium. RNAcentral's name for it is "partial 16S ribosomal RNA". It matches the Rfam family "Bacterial small subunit ribosomal RNA", at positions 338 to 795 of the family's 1533-position model. The record is from RNAcentral.